This 253-nucleotide ribosomal RNA is filed under the name uncultured bacterium. Its description in RNAcentral is "partial 16S ribosomal RNA". It matches the Rfam family "Bacterial small subunit ribosomal RNA", at positions 524 to 776 of the family's 1533-position model. The record is from RNAcentral.
UACGUAUGGGGCAAGCGUUAUCCGGAUUUACUGGGUGUAAAGGGAGCGCAGGCGGCCUGGCAAGCCUGAUGUGAAAUACCGGGGCCCAACCCCGGGGCUGCAUUGGGAACUGCCAGGCUGGAGUGCCGGAGAGGCAGGCGGAAUUCCUAGUGUAGCGGUGAAAUGCGUAGAUAUUAGGAGGGACACCAGUGGCGAAGGCGGCCUGCUGGACGGUGACUGACGCUGAGGCUCGAAAGCGUGGGGAGCAAACAGG